UGCAAGGCAAUGAAAGGAAACAAGUAGUGGAUGAUCUCCCUGUAUUCAGAGAGCUGAUGGCGGUGCAAAUCAGUGCAAAGAUCAACAUGAAUUACAAUCCUGGAGCUUCUUUUUCGUAGCAAGGAGAAAUCUUUGUGAAGGGAAAGACGGUCAUAUGAUCGUUAACAAAAUCGAGAGGUGAACAAGUUAGUUGUUCACAACUAGGGUGGUACCGCGAGAAGUUUCGUCCCUACU
This 234-nucleotide non-coding RNA is filed under the name Heyndrickxia shackletonii. RNAcentral's name for it is "Bacillus shackletonii T-box sequence". It matches the Rfam family "T-box leader". Rfam says of the family: Uncharged tRNA acts as the effector for transcription antitermination of genes in the T-box leader family. T-boxes are found upstream of many aminoacyl-tRNA synthetase genes and some amino acid biosynthetic genes usually in Gram-positive bacteria. Lineage: Bacteria; Bacillati; Bacillota; Bacilli; Caryophanales; Bacillaceae. The record is from RNAcentral.